This is a long non-coding RNA of Sander lucioperca (pikeperch), 274 nucleotides long. RefSeq lists it as uncharacterized. Lineage: Eukaryota; Metazoa; Chordata; Actinopteri; Perciformes; Percidae. The transcript is spliced from 3 exons. The record is from RefSeq and is a predicted model, not a curated record.
GACAUUUUAAAGCCUUUAAUUGUAAAAUUACUACACAGAAUACGCUUAUGAGCAGGGUGCGAACUACGGGGGAGCUAGCGGGAGCUCGGCUCCCCUUAAUAAGACAUGAGCUCCCCUGAAAAUGGGAUUUGUGAAAUUUUGGGGUGGGUCUCUAAAAAUAUUGACAAUGUGUCAUUUUGACGUGCAAUUUCAGUUUUGUGUAAUGUGAUCAUUGUCGAUUAUUAUGUGUACUAUUGCAAAAAUAUCAUUCAUUCAUGCAAGAUGGCGAUUUAAA